This 91-nucleotide long non-coding RNA is filed under the name Jaculus jaculus (lesser Egyptian jerboa). RNAcentral describes it as "GNAS antisense RNA 1 conserved region 1 (ENSJJAG00000010239.1)". It matches the Rfam family "GNAS antisense RNA 1 conserved region 1". Lineage: Eukaryota; Metazoa; Chordata; Mammalia; Rodentia; Dipodidae. The record is from RNAcentral.
AGCGGCGGCUUCGGCGGCCUCGGGACUGGGAGGGCAACCUGGCCAUUUGCAUCCCGGUGGAGCUAAGUUUGGAAUCUGUAACCCGAGGGCA